RNAcentral lists this long non-coding RNA (1016 nucleotides) under Brassica napus (rape). Its description in RNAcentral is "long non-coding RNA (BNAP_LNC000104)". The record is from RNAcentral. Lineage: Eukaryota; Viridiplantae; Streptophyta; Magnoliopsida; Brassicales; Brassicaceae.
UACGUGUUAUCAUUCGGAUGAUUCGUAGAGUCAUAUAUUAUACUUUUUAUUAAACUUUUUUUGGUCAACGAUUGCUUUCAUUAAGCAUAAGAGGGCAUGGCCCAAUUACAAGCAAAAUCGAACUUGUUCCUAUUACAAAAGAGUGAUACUCAAACGAGGCCCAACCCUAUUUUACAAGCCCAAAUAUUGAUGAUACAUUAUCUGCAUGUAAGGCACGUGUUGGCUAACGUGGCCUUUGAAUUCUCUGGAAACGCGUAGAGUGUACCUGAUGCCUCCGCCGGCUGCAUGUCGGACCUACAAUCACCGGACUCUCCCUCCGCCUAGCUCGAUUUGCUUGCUUGCUCCUCCUUCCCUUUAUCACCGCUGAUCCAAAGAAGCUCUUGAUCAAGUCACCGAAAUUGAAGUCUUGUGAGAAGUUAUGAUGGAGACAGUUGCAGAGCCUUGUUGGAACGUCUUCGGAAGAAAACUCCGACUUAUCUGAUUCUGCAGUAGCUCGCACCACUUCAUCAAUAACCUCUGUUAUUCAUCAUUAAGGAGACUUCACUUACAACUAUAAGCGAAGAUUGAUUCCUGAUUAGAUAAAAAAACAGAGCAUAUCUAGUGAAAAAAAUCUUAAACUUCGAAGAUCAAACGGAAUUUUAAUUCAGUUUAGGGAAGAGAAACAAUAUUAAAAUCUGAUCAGAAAAAUCAGAGCUUUAUUAAUUCAAACCAAAACUAAUGACUAAGGUUGAUACGACAUGAAGAACAACAUCAGAUUGGUUUGAAACACCACAAAAACUCGCCGAGCGAAAACUUCAAAAAUUGCCAAAGCGAACAUGAAAAUCCGAUAUACGAAAAAGAAAAUCGAUCUCAGCGAUCGAACUAUUAUACAAACAAAAAAUCAUAUUUCUUUCUCCCUCUGAUUGAUUUAUUUCCUUCUGAAAGAUAGAGUUUGAUAAGAAGGAAGAAGAAAUCAAGAGAGUUUCCUCUCUCUAAAAGGGAGGAGAGAGUCCUAAACAAAUAUUAUAGAAUUAUCU